RNAcentral lists this ribosomal RNA (417 nucleotides) under uncultured bacterium. RNAcentral describes it as "bacterial SSU rRNA". It matches the Rfam family "Bacterial small subunit ribosomal RNA", at positions 917 to 1333 of the family's 1533-position model. The record is from RNAcentral.
GGGCCCGCACAAGCGGUGGAGCAUGUGGUUUAAUUCGAUGCAACGCGAAAAACCUUACCAGGCCUUGACAUCCUGAGAACUUUCUAGAGAUAGAUUGGUGCCUUCGGGAACUCAGUGACAGGUGUUGCAUGGCUGUCGUCAGCUCGUGUCGUGAGAUGUUGGGUUAAGUCCCGUAACGAGCGCAACCCUUAUCCUUAUUUGCCAGCACAUAAUGGUGGGAACUCUAAGGAGACUGCCGGUGACAAACCGGAGGAAGGAGAGGAUGAUGUCAAGUCAUCAUGGCCCUUACGGCCUGGGCUACACACGUGCUACAAUGGGCAGUACAGAGGGCCGCGAACCCGCGAGGGGGAGCUAAUCCCAAAAAACUGCUCGUAGUCCGGAUCGGAGUCUGCAACUCGACUCCGUGAAGUCGGAAUC